Molecule: ribosomal RNA, 492 nt
Filed under: uncultured bacterium
Lineage: Bacteria
Description: partial 16S ribosomal RNA
Rfam family: Bacterial small subunit ribosomal RNA
Source: RNAcentral
GGGGGGGGGGGGGGGGGGGGGGGGGGGGUGCAGGGCGGGCGGCGGCAGGGUAAGGGCUUGCUCGUACGGGUGGCGAGUGGCGGACGGGUGGGGGAUACAGCGGAAUCUACUUUUUCGUGGGGGCUAACGUAGGGAAACUUACGCUAAUACCGCCUACGACCUACGGGUGAAAGCAGGGGAUCUUCGGACCUUGCGCGAUUGAAUGAGCCGAUGUCGGAUUAGCUAGUUGGCGGGGUAAAGGCCCACCAAGGCGACGAUCCGUAGCUGGUCUGAGAGGAUGAUCAGCCACACUGGAACUGAGACACGGUCCAGACUCCGACGGGAGGCAGCAGUGGGGAAUAUUGGACAAUGGGCGCAAGCCUGAUCCAGCCAUACCGCGUGGGUGAAGAAGGCCUUCGGGUUGUAAAGCCCUUUUGUUGGGAAAGAAAAGCAGCAGGUUAAUACCCCGCUGUUCUGACGGUACCCAAAGAAUAAGCACCGGCUAACUUCGUG